This 251-nucleotide long non-coding RNA is filed under the name Homo sapiens (human). Its description in RNAcentral is "HSALNT0037413". The record is from RNAcentral. Lineage: Eukaryota; Metazoa; Chordata; Mammalia; Primates; Hominidae.
CUCUGAAAAGUCUCUCUUCCACAAUCUGAAGAACUUCUAGAAAGUAGAAGGAAGCGAUAUUGCUUAGGGAUGGACAACUUGGCACUGGUUAUGUGUUCCAAGUGAGGUAACCUUGUUCCCAGGAAUAAAGAGAACCAGAUGACUGUAAACAUUUCCCUAAACUGAAAUGCACUGUUGUAUGUUCACCUGCAAUGAAUGGUGUAAGCUGAAUAUAAGAUUUUUGACAAAAUAAAAAUUUUGCUGUGUUCUCA